UAGGGAAUCUUCCGCAAUGGACGAAAGUCUGACGGAGCAACGCCGCGUGAGUGAAGAAGGAUUUCGGUUCGUAAAACUCUGUUGUUUGGGAAGAAAAAAUGUAUAGUAACUAUAUACAAAAGAGACGGUACCUAACCAGAAAGCCACGGCUAACUACGUGCCAGCAGCCGCGGUAAUACGUAGGUGGCAAGCGUUGUCCGGAAUUAUUGGGCGUAAAGCGCGCGCAGGUGGUUUAGAAAGUCUGAUGUGAAAGCCCACGGCUCAACCGUGGAGGGUCAUUGGAAACUAAUAAACUUGAGUGCAGGAGAGAAAAGUGGAAUUCCAAGUGUAGAGGUGAAAUGCGUAGAGAUUAGGAGGAAGACCGGUGGCGAAAGCGGCUUAUUAGCAUGAAACUGACAAUGAGGCGCGAAAGCGUGGGGAGCAAACAGG
Molecule: ribosomal RNA, 429 nt
Filed under: Verrucomicrobiota bacterium
Lineage: Bacteria; Pseudomonadati; Verrucomicrobiota
Description: Verrucomicrobia bacterium partial 16S ribosomal RNA
Rfam family: Bacterial small subunit ribosomal RNA
Source: RNAcentral